AGCAGCCGCGGUAAUUCCAGCUCCAAUAGCGUAUAUUAAAGUUGUUGCAGUUAAAAAGCUCGUAGUUGAAUUUCGGGAUCGACGGGUCGGUCGCGCCUCUGGUGUGUACUGGCCCUGUCGGUUUCUCCCUUCUGACGAACCACGAUGUCAUUAAUUUGGUGUCGUGGGAAAUCAGGACUGUUACUUUGAAAAAAUUAGAGUGUUUAAAGCAGGCAUUCGCUUGAAUACAUUAGCAUGGAAUAAUGAAAUAGGACGUUUGAUCUUAUUUUGUUGGUUUCUAAGAUCGACGUAAUGAUUAAUAGGGAUAGUUGGGGGCAUUAGUAUUCAAUUGUCAGAGGUGAAAUUCUUGGAUUUAUUGAAGACUAACUACUGCGAAAGCAUUUGCCAAGGAUGUUUUCAUUAAUCAAGAACGAAAGUUAGGGGAUCGAAGGCGAUCAGAUACCGUCGUAGUCUUAACCAUAAACUAUGCCGACUAGGGAUCGGAUGAUGUAAUUUUUAAUGA
Molecule: ribosomal RNA, 502 nt
Filed under: uncultured Glomus
Lineage: Eukaryota; Fungi; Glomeromycota; Glomeromycetes; Glomerales; Glomeraceae
Description: SSU rRNA
Rfam family: Eukaryotic small subunit ribosomal RNA
Source: RNAcentral